This 2676-nucleotide long non-coding RNA is filed under the name Elaeis guineensis (African oil palm). RNAcentral describes it as "long non-coding RNA (EGUI_LNC008523)". Lineage: Eukaryota; Viridiplantae; Streptophyta; Magnoliopsida; Arecales; Arecaceae. The record is from RNAcentral.
AUUUUAUUAAAAUAUAAAAUAUUUCGACUUAUUUAUCUUAUCUUGGUUAGGAUAUGCAUUAAUAAAGUAUUAUUGAUUAGCUAGCAUCUAAUAUAAAAGAAAAAGAAGUGGCUGGACUAGUUUUUCUCAAAUUUGAUAUUUAUAUUAGUCUCAAUUUACUAGUAUAGUAGAUGAUAGAUCAUUUGUUAUUAGAUUGUGAUCCAUUUAGCAAGUAGUCCUAUAUAUCAGUUUUUGACUAGCGAAUAAAUCAAAUGGCCCUAGUGAAAACCAUUUGCCUAGAGAUACACAUUGAUGAUUAGACCCUAUAACGAUUUAUAAUCGCUAAUCAACCAUUUGAUCAGACAAAAAUAUCUUUUGUGUGUGACUCCAUAGGUUCUAUUCUGUCUGAUAGUAAGAUAUACUGUGAUUCCUAUCACAAUAUCAUCAAAAUUUUUUUUGAUUAGUUGAAACAAUUCCAACUCUGUUCUUCGAGGAUCAUCAAUCAUCAAGACGAUGCUCAACGAGUCUCACAAUCCACCAAUGACACCUAAUAGUAUGUAGUGACAAUCCAGUAGAAUAAAAGUAUUGAACCUCUACGUACAAUUACCAUAUGAUUUAGUCCUUCUAUUACGAGUCUCGAUUUGACAGAGGUCAUGAAAAACUCAUCAAACUCCAAUGUCAGUCAUAUGCCAAAUUGGUUCAACUCGAGUUCAUUUAUGAAUCUUGUGAAAUUUUCUUUCCAGUAUUCACACUUGCUUUGAUCGAAGACUUUCUGAACUCAGUAUCGUGAAUCACAUAGGACUUCUUCUUUUCUAUCAAUAUCGAUAGAUUCUAUCUGGAUGCAUCCUACUCCUAAUAGUGAAUCCGAACCCACUGUAGCCAACAUACACUAUAGAGACUUAAAUGGCUAAGAGUCUAAGUUUAGGUGUAGUCAAACUUAGUAGCCUCACUAUGAAUAGCCAAUACACCACAGAUCAAAGGACCACUCACACUAUUACACAUUGAGCAAAUCACUGAUGAGUGAGCAGACAUCCAAGUAAUUUUUUAUGUUGAUCACGCUUAAUACAAGUUAUUCUCUAACAACCACUUGCACUUUCAUCCUAGUAUUCCCACACUAUAAACUCGAAAAUCAUCUGUCUGGAAGAGAAAUGAUCUGUGCACCAAUCUAACUGGAUCGAAUACUAUUCUCCAUGAUGAUCCUUCGAUCGAGAGCCUUUAGAAAUUAAUCAUCAAUAGCGUAUGUCUCAAAUUCUCAAUACCUUGAGAAUAUACAAUAUCAUCUGUUAAUUUUUAGGAUAAAUUAUGGACGCAUAAAAAUAUAAUUAGAAAUAAAAAUAUCUUUUAUUCAUAAAAUUUUAUAAGUAUAAAUUUAUAUCUUGAAAUUACAUAAUGCAUCUGCCAAUAAUUGGUUUUUAUGGCAUACAUCAAAUAUAGGAAACCUUGAUAAUAUCAAUCAAAGCAUAAUCAUAUAAGAAGUAAUAAGAAGCAUACCUAUUAAAUUUUGAUUUGGUGAUGCUUAACUUCCAUGAGGCACCUAAGUAUUCACCCUCUAAUGGUGAUUCACAUAAAAAUUAGUCUAAGGACAGCACUCCUACACCUUGCUUUAAGAGUUCUAAUCCUUAGAACUUGACUAGCCUUGCACUGGUCAGGUUUCUCCAAGAAUCUGACUUUAUCCUCUCAAAACUCCUCUGAACUUCUUGAUUCUCUCCUUCAGGACCUCCCUUAUCCUUGUUUAGACCUGAUUAGGUUUUGUCUUAAAUACCAAAGCCUUAUCCUAAGACUAUAAAGGUUGUAAGAAAGAAGGGAGAAGCAAGGGAGACAAAACUGGAAAGAAAUCUGAAUGCUUCGAAUACCUAACGCCUAAGGCAAUUUAUAGGUGAGAUAGGGGUGCAUGAGGAAGAAUCACAUCUCUUCUUCACACCCCACUGAUAUUUGCAUGUCUGAGAGAGAGAGUCUUCAAACACAAGGACUCUUUGAAGCAAUACAAUCCUUCUCCCUUCAUCACGCGUGCGCACACACGAGGGGCAUUUCUAGCAUCCAUUCAACCUUCAGAUAAUUCUGACAAAAUUUUAGAUAAAUUUUUAUUUAAAAAUAGAUUAAAAAAGGUAUGUUAUCUGAUAGGUGACAUCUCUUCCAACUAGAAUUUAAAUGACAGAAGGACUCUUCGAUGCGAAGAGUCGUGUGAGUCCAUUCUCGAGUGCGUGCCUUCCCUUCUUUCCAAGUUUUUCUCCAUGCCAUAAAAAAUCCAAAAAAUAAUAUCUCAGCCUUUGAGAUAUGUGCCAGAGAAUGGAGGGUGAUGUGGGCUACUUCAUGCAUCUUAAUUUCAAGAUAGAAGGACUCUUUUCUUCUCCUCACUCCAAAACAUAUCCCCAACUCUUCUUUGCAUGCCAAGAGUCCAACCAAGCUAGGACUUUAACUAAUUUGCAUCCAAGAGGCCAUAUGGCUCCAUCCAAUAGCCGCCACACCCAGAUCCAAAUCUAAAUUAGCCCAUGGCUCAAUUUGAUUUGAUCAAGAAGCAAGAUUUGAAUAUAUUUCGAAUCCAAUUCAAGGAGCUAAGGUUUUCACACGUGCUAAUAUGCUUAUCAGGAACCCGAUUGGAUCCAAAACUCCAGCCAAUCUUAUCAAAAGAGUCUUUGAUCAAUUUUUUUAUGUGUAUGACCCAUUAAGUUUCACAUCUCACCAUGCUAAUCUGAGUUU